This 1555-nucleotide ribosomal RNA is filed under the name Vibrio europaeus. Its description in RNAcentral is "bacterial SSU rRNA". It matches the Rfam family "Bacterial small subunit ribosomal RNA". Lineage: Bacteria; Pseudomonadati; Pseudomonadota; Gammaproteobacteria; Vibrionales; Vibrionaceae. The record is from RNAcentral.
AAAUUGAAGAGUUUGAUCAUGGCUCAGAUUGAACGCUGGCGGCAGGCCUAACACAUGCAAGUCGAGCGGAAACGAGUUAACUGAACCUUCGGGGGACGUUAACGGCGUCGAGCGGCGGACGGGUGAGUAAUGCCUAGGAAAUUGCCCUGAUGUGGGGGAUAACCAUUGGAAACGAUGGCUAAUACCGCAUAAUGCCUUCGGGCCAAAGAGGGGGACCUUCGGGCCUCUCGCGUCAGGAUAUGCCUAGGUGGGAUUAGCUAGUUGGUGAGGUAAGGGCUCACCAAGGCGACGAUCCCUAGCUGGUCUGAGAGGAUGAUCAGCCACACUGGAACUGAGACACGGUCCAGACUCCUACGGGAGGCAGCAGUGGGGAAUAUUGCACAAUGGGCGCAAGCCUGAUGCAGCCAUGCCGCGUGUAUGAAGAAGGCCUUCGGGUUGUAAAGUACUUUCAGCAGUGAGGAAGGUGGUGUAGUUAAUAACUGCAUCACUUGACGUUAGCUGCAGAAGAAGCACCGGCUAACUCCGUGCCAGCAGCCGCGGUAAUACGGAGGGUGCGAGCGUUAAUCGGAAUUACUGGGCGGGUAAAGCGCAUGCAGGUGGUUUGUUAAGUCAGAUGUGAAAGCCCGGGGCUCAACCUCGGAAUUGCAUUUGAAACUGGCAGACUAGAGUACUGUAGAGGGGGGUAGAAUUUCAGGUGUAGCGGUGAAAUGCGUAGAGAUCUGAAGGAAUACCGGUGGCGAAGGCGGCCCCCUGGACAGAUACUGACACUCAGAUGCGAAAGCGUGGGGAGCAAACAGGAUUAGAUACCCUGGUAGUCCACGCCGUAAACGAUGUCUACUUGGAGGUUGUGGCCUUGAGCCGUGGCUUUCGGAGCUAACGCGUUAAGUAGACCGCCUGGGGAGUACGGUCGCAAGAUUAAAACUCAAAUGAAUUGACGGGGGCCCGCACAAGCGGUGGAGCAUGUGGUUUAAUUCGAUGCAACGCGAAGAACCUUACCUACUCUUGACAUCCAGAGAAGCCAGUAGAGAUACAGGUGUGCCUUCGGGAACUCUGAGACAGGUGCUGCAUGGCUGUCGUCAGCUCGUGUUGUGAAAUGUUGGGUUAAGUCCCGCAACGAGCGCAACCCUUAUCCUUGUUUGCCAGCGAGUAAUGUCGGGAACUCCAGGGAGACUGCCGGUGAUAAACCGGAGGAAGGUGGGGACGACGUCAAGUCAUCAUGGCCCUUACGAGUAGGGCUACACACGUGCUACAAUGGCGCAUACAGAGGGCAGCAAGCUAGCGAUAGUGAGCGAAUCCCAAAAAGUGCGUCGUAGUCCGGAUUGGAGUCUGCAACUCGACUCCAUGAAGUCGGAAUCGCUAGUAAUCGUGGAUCAGAAUGCCACGGUGAAUACGUUCCCGGGCCUUGUACACACCGCCCGUCACACCAUGGGAGUGGGCUGCAAAAGAAGUAGGUAGUUUAACCUUCGGGAGAACGCUUACCACUUUGUGGUUCAUGACUGGGGUGAAGUCGUAACAAGGUAGCCCUAGGGGAACCUGGGGCUGGAUCACCUCCUUA